UACGUAGGGUGCAAGCGUUAUCCGGAAUUAUUGGGCGUAAAGAGCUCGUAGGCGGUUUGUCGCGUCUGCUGUGAAAACUGGAGGCUCAACCUCCAGCCUGCAGUGGGUACGGGCAAACUAGAGUGCGGUAGGGGAGAUUGGAACUCCUGGUGUAGCGGUGAAAUGCGCAGAUAUCAGGAGGAACACCGGUGGCGAAGGCGGAUCUCUGGGCCAUUACUGACGCUGAGGAGCGAAAGCGUGGGGAGCGAACAGG
This 253-nucleotide ribosomal RNA is filed under the name uncultured bacterium. RNAcentral's name for it is "partial 16S ribosomal RNA". It matches the Rfam family "Bacterial small subunit ribosomal RNA", at positions 524 to 776 of the family's 1533-position model. The record is from RNAcentral.